AGAAAUAUGAAAUAGUUUCCUUGUUUAUAUGUAUUUUAUGCUUUUAUAAGGUUUAUAACAUGAUUAUUGCUGACUGGAGGGAUAUUGAAUACUUAAACGACAUAAUAUGCUGACUGUGACAGACUAAGGUAUUUCUUCUAUAGGAUGUAAGACAAUGCUAAAAUUUCAGGAUGUCUUGCCCAUUCCGAUUUCAGGAUAUUAUUUUCCAGACGUAUGCAAAAAAGCUUAUCUUCCCAUUGUCAGAAUAACAUGUAAUAUAUAAGGAAGUAAUAAAUCGUAUAAUCUGUAUUGUAUUGCAUAUCUCAUGACUAAGGUAAACAAAACUGUAUAAAUGCUAGCUUCACAGUAAUACAGAUUGAGAACUUGUUAAGCACCUUCGUGUCUGUCUGUUAUUUGCUAAGCAAGUCUCUCCCGUCAAUUGAUGUGGUGAACAGAGGAUCGAGAACCGAGGGUUGAGUCCAGGACAGCAUUAACCCUUUCAGCUUGGUGUCUAGAAGUGGGAUAGAAGUUGGAUCAGCAAAAUCAUUGGGUAAGUAGCCUUUUUGUGUCUUAUUUGACGCUGAUUGUCUAUGACCCCUUUGGUUUAGUAAGACUGUAUCCAGUACAUAGGAAAGGUGUAAGGACUCUAGUUAUAUUGAGACUGUAAAUAGGUCUCCGGUUUAUUAGACAUUUGGUCUAAGUAUAUAUAGGGUUUUGGUAACCCAGGUUAGUAUCUAAGAUAGAUACAGGGUAUCUCAGGUAGAUACAGGUUUUGAGACUAUAAAGGAGUCUCCGGUUUAUUAAGAUUAUAAGUGUUCUAGGGAACACGGUUUAUAGAUCUAGAAUAACCCAAACUUCUCGUUUCUCUGGUCACCUUGUCUGUUUUGUGUUUAUUUUGCUUGUUAAGUAGAGACACACUAUUGGUAAGUAGGUAGUGUCUCUACCCUGAGCCAGAAAUAUGGGAAAUAAACUGUCUAUUUCUUACCCUUUACCUCACCCAGGGGAGUCAUGUCUAAAUUAUGUUACUAGAGUUGGAGCACAAGGAGGAUUUCUUACUAUCCCCUUUGUGUCAAAUGUAACAGGAUGGACAGAGACUAUGAAGUCAUCUGAUCCUUUUCCCAGGUGUGGGGCUAAUGAUGAUUUCCAUAUGAAUAUGAUUCGAGGAUUGUGUUUGGGAGAUAGGAAGUCAUGGCCGUGGUAUGGUCCUGAUCCAGAUUGGGAUAAGGAAUAUAUGAAAGCAGGAGGUGAAAAUUGGUUGCAGAUAGCCCCUCACUGGUUUCCUUGUAGUAUAACAGGAAAGGUUUUAAAGGGAGCUAAGAAACACCUGGCUAAGAGAAAGGGAACUGUUGAUAGUAAUACCAUUCACUUUCCCAUAGGAGCCCCUCCUGAGAAUCUAUAUUCAUCACCAAUUGUGCCCCCUACCCAGUCAGCCCCCGGCCAUGCCCAACCACAACCCCCACCUCCCUAUAAAGCAAUGUAUCCUGCUUUACCUAAUGCCCCCUCAGAAGAUGAUAUAGAGGAUGUUUGUAUUGCUGCAACUGUUAAUUCAAAAUCACAGCAAUUACAGCAAUUACAGGAAUCAUCAUCUAUACCAGAUUCUGAUAUAGAAUAUCCACCGUCACCUCCCGGUCCAAUUAAACUAACAGUACAGACGGGAAUUAAACUUAAAAGUGGCAAGAUGUUAAAAACAUAUGUACAUAAACAAGAUGAUGAUGAUGUAGAGAUGCCAGAAUUAGAAGGUGCUGAUCUUACUGCCCCAUUCAUGACUGUUGGUAAUCAGUUAAUAGUGAAACCUAUUAAUCCUGGAGUACUCAAGGACAUUAUUCAAGGUGCCCCAAACCCCCGUACUAAUCCCUCUGCAUGCCUAAUGUAUUUGAAAAGAAUGUGCUUAGGACAGAACAUGACACAGAUAGAUAUACAGUUAAUUAUAAAUGGAAUAUUAGGGUAUGAUUCAGAUUCUGGUUGGGAUUGGUCUAAGGUACCCUCUAUUAGUGAGACAGACAAUGGUACUGAAGUUGGAGAGGCUGGUAGUGAUGGUGUUUAUGAGCUUAGUACUUCAGCAGGAUGUGCUAAAAUGUGGAAUGAGGUGGAAGUUGAAAUGUUGAGAUUAUGGAAGAAUAAGCAGUCUAUAUCCACUGCUUUGGCAUGUAAGCAAGGUGCAAAGGAAGAGAUUGGUAUUUUUGUAAAAAGAUUUUACAAAUGUUGGAAGGAUGAGGCAGGUUUGAAGUCUGGAGAGGAUAUGGAUCUCCUUAAAAUACAGUCAUGCCUUGGUAAUAUGUUGCCACAGUAUUCUUUGCUUGUGAAACAAUUGAUUUCAGACUGGGCCAAUUUGGAUGGCUCAGAUUUUCUUACCAAGGUUAUAGAAAAGGAAAAUGCAGGUUGUUUUGACUUAAGGAAAGAUUCAGGAAGUAAGGUUGCUUAUUAUGCUCAGGGAUUGCAACAUUGUCCACCUACACAGGCCCGAGAGAGAGGAUGGGAUGGAGCACAUAGAGCCCGUGGAAGGGGUGGUCAAAGAGGUGCAAGGGGAUGGAGACAGGGAAAUCAGGGUUAUAGGGGCAGGGGUAACCAAGGAGGAAUAGACAGGAACACUUGUUUCAACUGUGGGCAGAAUGGCCACUGGAGAAAUGAGUGUCCACACCCCAGGAAACCCCAGCAGCCCCAACAACCCUACAAUUCUCAAAAUAUGCCCGGUAGGCAAGAACAACACCAGGCCCACUCCCAACACCACUGGCCAGCACUCCCCCCUGCCCCCUCUCUCCAGCAAGCCCAAACUGCACUAGGGCCAUUCACAGGUACCACUGACCAGCACACCCAUCACAUCCCAUGGCCCCAAUAGGGAUGCCUUGAAGGUGACACUCUAACUUUUCCACUUUUGUCCUCUACUAAUGAUGAUCAGCCUUUUUGCAUUCUGGUCAUAGAAGGUAGAUCCUUGCCAUUUUUGGUAGAUACUGGAGCUACGUGUUCCAGUCUCUGUGAUACCUAUUAUCAGGGGACAAGGAAAAAGUCUACACCUUCAUUGGGUAUUAAUGGAGUGUCAACACCCACUUUUGUCACACCACCACUGUCUGUUUUCUGUCCUCUUAAUGGUUCUUCUACUAUGCACCCUUUUCGUAUAAUACCUAAAUGUCCUGUUAAUUUGCUGGGAAGGGAUCUUCUUGGUAUUCUGGGAGCUACCAUUACUUGCACGCCCUCUGGUGGUAUUGAUGUGUCUAUGUUGUGUUCUGAAACUAUUGAUUUGUCUGCUGUUCCUUCCUCUGUGUGGGCUUCAUCUAAGUUAGAUGUAGGAUUUGUCAACUGCACCCCUUACAAAGCCAAACUAAAAUCAGAUGUAACUCCUAUCUACCUUAAACAGUACCCUUUGACAGAAGCCAAGGUUGAGGGAGUUCGCCCCAUGAUCCAAUCUUUUCUAGAACAGGGAAUACUAAAGCCAGUAGUUUCUCCAUAUAACACACCUAUUAAUCCAGUUCCUAAAGGUAAUGGUUAUCGCUUAGUUCAGGACUUUAGAGCCCUGAAUAAUUUAAUUGUGCCCAUUGCACCCAUUGUCCCUGAUGUGACAUCCCUCAUUACAGCCAUUCCACAUGAUGCCACUUGCUUCACUGUCAUUGAUUUAAGUAAUGCAUUUUUUUCUAUACCUAUUGAUCAAGAGACACAGCUACUUAUGGCUUUUACUUUUGAAGGCUGUCAGUAUACCUGGACACGUUUACCCCAAGGCUAUGUGGACUCCCCAGCUGUUUAUUCGCUGGUACUCCAACAUACUCUAAAAACAUGGACCCCCGGUCAUGGUUCCGUCCUUUUGCAAUAUGUUGAUGAUUUGUUGUUAUGUAGCCCUAGCUAUGAGGCAAGCACUGUGGAUACUGUCAGUUUGCUCAGACACUUAGCAACUGUGGGUCACAAGGUUGCAAAACACAAAAUGCAAUUGUGUAAAUCAAAGGUUGAUUACUUAGGUUUUGUUCUGGCUUCAGGCACCAGACAAUUGAGUCCAAAACGUAUUGAGGUCAUUCAGAGGAUUCCUAAACCCACUACUCGGAAGGAGUUGCUCACCUUCCUCGGCAUGAUUAAUUACUGCCGCCAAUGGAUCCCUGAAUGCUCUCAUUAUGACUCAAUCCUAAGGGAGGCUGUACGUUCUGACAGCCCUGAAAAUGUCUGCUGGUCACCAGACAUGUUAGCUGCGUAUAUAACCCUCAAAGUUGCUAUUGUGCAAGCCCCGGCUUUAGGACUACCUGUGUAUUGUAAACCAUUUCAUUUGUAUGCUCGGGACAACUGUAAAACCAUGGCCGCGGUCUGUGCACAAGAGCACGGAGGCGGUAUGCGUCCCAUAGCAUUCUUUUCCAAAAUAUUUCCAGCUCCGGUACAGGGUAUGCCGGCGUGUCUCAGAGCAUUGGCAGCAUGUGCAAUGGCUGUUGAGACUGCUACUACUAUCACACUAGGGCAUCCUACAGUACUCCAUACCAGUCACCAGGUCACUCAGCUGAUAAAAAAUAUCACCACACAACACAUGACAGCCCAGCGUUUAAGUGGUUAUGAGAUUAUUCUUCUUAACACCCAGAAUCUGUCUAUUGUGUAUAGUCCUGUUAAUUCUGGUCCUAUGUCUGUUUUGCAUGCUAUUCUUACUUCUGCAUCUGACUCUGUGUCUAUACCAUCUGAGCCUCAUAAUUGCAUUGAACAAAUACAUAUUGCCACAUCUCCCAGAGCAGACCUCUCCUCCACAGCACUCAGUGUCCCGGAUGUGACCACUGUCUUUGUGGAUGGCUCUUGCUCCAGACCAAAUGACGGUACGUACCUCACAGGCUAUGCUGUGGUACAGCUACCUGAUAAAAUCAUUGAAGCUGACACUAUUUUCCAGCCGUCUGCACAAGCUGCAGAACUCAUUGCUCUCACACGUGCCUGUCAGCUUUUCUCAGGACAGCGAGUGAACAUUUACACAGACUCACGAUAUGCUCAUGGGGUAGUGCAUGAUUUUGGUGUGAUCUGGAAACAAAGAGGUUUUGUAGGAGCCGAUGGAAAAGCCAUUUCACACACAAAUCUCAUCCAAUCACUCCUAGAUGCUAUCCUACUACCAUCUGAAGUAGCUAUUAUCCACUGCAAGGCACACACUCUUGGUAGUGAUGACAUUUCAAGAGGAAAUGCCUUGGCUGACAAAGUAGCAAAAGAAGCUGCAGCCAAGAUUGUUUACUUUAAAAUGUUUCCUGCUAUGCUUAAACCACCCACAUGCCCUACUGACAGUUUGCUUUUGCAGCUUCAAGCCUUUGCAACGCAAUCUGACUUGGAUUUUUGGAUUAAACAAGGUUUAGAAAAAGAUCAGAAUGAUCUUUUCUCUAAAGAGGGGAAGAUUGGCAUACCUGAAGCAAGUUGUUUUAUUUUCAUCAGUCAGGCACAUGGUCCUGGCCAUAAAAGCAUAGCAAGUACCAUCCAAUUCCUCAUGAAUUCAUUUUAUAUUAGGAAUCUCAGGCAGCAUGUACAGUCUUUUGUAAGAUCAUGUGAACCAUGUAUGAGAACACAUCCAAAUAUUCCACACAAAUCACAGCAUGAACAGCUGCUCCUUUUACACACUUACAGAUUGAUUUUACUCAUGUACCCAAAAUUGGUAAGAAACAGCAAUACUUACUGGUCAUAGUUGAUCAGUUUAGUAGAUGGCCCGAAGCCUUUGUGACAUCCAGGGAAGAUGCUAGGACUGUAGUGAAGAUUCUUGCUACUGAAAUUAUUCCCAGGUAUGGCUGCCCUCUGCAGAUUAACUCUGAUAAUGGCCCGGCUUUUGCUAGUAAGGUUACCCAGGAACUUGCUAAAUUCUUGCAAGUUACCUGGAAGUUUCAUAUACCCUAUCAUCCACAGAGUUCAGGGGUAGUUGAAAGGAUGAAUAGGACCAUUAAGGAGAAGCUUAUGAAAGCUACUGCAGGAACAUGGGUAAAUUGGACAAAAUAUCUUCCAGCUAUUUUAGCUGAGAUAAGAAUGACUCCCCACAAGGUGACUAAAUUAUCUCCAUUUGAGAUUCUGAUGGGACGACCUUUUCCCACACCCUGGGCCAGGGAACCGCUUGUUAUAAUGUCUGGGGAUUUACAGCUAAUACAAGAACAAUAUGUACAGGAAUUGUUGAUAAAACUGAAUGGUAUAUAUGGCAAUGUUUCUUCGCAGUUUCCCUUACCUUCACAGGAACCUACUCAUCCAUACCAGCCCGGUGACAAGGUGUAUAUCCGUCAGCUGAACAGGACCAAGAAAGGAGGAUACCCUUUUGGACCACCUGCUACUGUGAUUGCUGUAACCAGAACCGCUGUCCUCACAGAUUCCCACGACAUCUGGAUUCACGCAUCCCGAGUGAAGCUGUGUCCAAAGAGGGGAGCCAAGGAAGACAACACCACUCCUCGCUCGGAAACAGAAGAAGUCCCCCUUAGCGAAGCAUCAUGGUUUUCACACCAUAUCGUAGAUUGAGAGGAUCAUACGAAUCUGAGACCAAGAUUAUGUUGUGUGCUAUGUUUUCUGGAGUAGUUAUACUCCCUUUGAUAUUGUUCCUUGAAUGCCAUUAUGAAUACGAGGCAAUGGCAAGUUUGAAACCUGUUUGUUUCUGGAAAGAAGACUCUGACAUGAUGAACAAUUCUUCAAUACCCCCAGCCCAAUUAGGCCUUAACCCCUCAUCUAGCAUUCGUCACACACGCUCCCUCAAGAACUUUUCUCCACCACCCUUUUAUCAGCAUGUAAUAUGCAAUCAUUCAUUCACUGAACGCAUUUGGAUGAAUUGGACAAAUAAUAACCCUUAUAAGUAUCAAUUACUCAUAUGGAAUGUGUCCACAGCUAAUGAAACCGAUGCAUUAUGUUUGUUUGAAGGUUCACGGAAAAUUGUUAGAUCUUAUAACACAGAAAUGUGCACAGUUAAGGUUGCUAAUUACACUGGUAUCUGUGCCACCUUAUUUAAUAUAAGUUCUGAUGGUAAGAGAAAACCACCUAAACAGGUUUGGGAUAUAUAUUAUAAGAAAAUUAGUAAGGUUGCAUAUCAAUGUAAACAAACAGGCCUUAUUACUUUUAAUAAUGAUUAUACAACUGGUACCAUUAAUUGAAAAAAGGGACAAAUGUUAGUCAUUAUGAAUGACACUGCAAUUGAGAACUAUACACUACCUUAUAUUUUUACACCUUAUUACUGUCCUUUAUCCUCUAACAUAGAACCAAAAGUCAACAACGACACACACACACCUAUUCCAUCCACAUGUGUUAAUACAACUGUCUUCUUACAAGCUGUACAUGUGUCAUUAAAAAUCACUACUCCUGUUGUAACAUUAUGUAACACAGCAAACAAAAGGCAGAAAAGGGAAUGGUAUGACACACUGUUAGGAGGUGCUGGAACCACUAUGGGUAUACUAAAUAGUAUAGACAUGGAGACCCUCAAGAAUAAGUUAAACACAGCCAGUAUGCAUAUAGGGACUGGUUUUCAUGCUACUGCAAACUGGGCUCCAACUGUUGUUAAAUCACAGGUUACAGGAUUGGAUUUAGAUAAAUCAAUGUAUAAUUAUUUAGAUAAUUUAACUGUUGCAACUAUGAAAUUCACAACAGGUCUAAGUAAUUGGAGUACUUGUGCCAUCAGGUAUUUAUGGAUGCAACACCAAAGAUCGGCAUUAGAAGACAUACUAAUGAUUCCUAAAUUAGAGAAGAUUAGAGGAAUGCUUAACCUCACAGAUAAUGAAUGGUUACUUCUGAAACCCCAAUCCACUAAAUGCAAUGAAUGGUUAACUGGUACUGUAUCACAUUUUUCAUGCUCAUGUUAUUUUACAUUAUAUCAUACAACAUCAAAGGAUGUUAAAUUAGCUUGUCAAUUUAACACAUUACCAGUACCAGUUUAUGAUCUCUUUGCCAAGAAUUUAACCUGGUGGGCACCCACAUACACAGGGGACUAUAUUUUUCCCAAAGAUAAUAUGACCUAUUCCCUUAAACACUGUGUUCUCACUGACAAAGGAUAUGCAUGUCGACACUCGUCCUCUAUUUACGAACCAUGUUUACUCCAAAAUGAACUUAACAAAUGUAUAUGGCACAUAUAUCCUGAAAAUUAUUUUACCAUGACAGAAAUAAGCACACGACAUAUCUGUUUAGCAACUAAUCUCCCUACAAAGAUAAUUACUAGCACUACAAGUAUUAAUCUACCUCUCCCUUUUUCAGGAUGUUUGACUAAUAUUACCUGGUUAGAUCUUAAUGGCACCCAAUAUUAUUUCAGCGACACAAUUACUUUAGACAAACAUGUUAAUGCCCUAUUAGGCUCGCUGCCUUUUGAAGAUUACCAUUUACCUCUUGAGACUAUUGUCUCCUUAAUGAAAGGAAAACAAAAUAUGUUUAAACAUCUUGUUACACAUAAUGAUGCUCUAGUACACACACAGGUAGCCACACAUAUCCUAAAAGGAGAACUCCUUAAGGUGAGUUCACAGAUUCAGAAUGAUUUAGUCCAUCAUUGGUACGAUGCUUUUACUGGUUGGUCUCCUACGGGAUCCCAGAUAAUGAAAUCAUUCUUCUAUCCUCUUGUUAUUAUAGUCCUGAUUUUAUUGUGUAUGAUUUUGUAUAACUGCCAUCUUACUUGUACACUGAGAAAGAGAAUACAGAAAUUAAUCUAUAAUGCAGAACAGAAACAAUUGGAAACUCUCCUCUCUGCCACUGGAGGCUAUCAACCCAUCUUUAAAACUGGGCCUUAGGAAUUACCACAUGGGAAUCGAGGUGAAGAAAUUAAUGAAAGUCCCGCAGGGAGUGACUAGCACCCCUGAAAAUACCAUGUGGAAGUUUCUCUGUCCUGGUAAAAUUUUAUUGAUAAGAUGAGCAAAUUAAUUGCUCAAAGAGGGGGAUGUAAGAAAUAUGAAAUAGUUUCCUUGUUUAUAUGUAUUUUAUGCUUUUAUAAGGUUUAUAACAUGAUUAUUGCUGACUGGAGGGAUAUUGAAUACUUAAACGACAUAAUAUGCUGACUGUGACAGACUAAGGUAUUUCUUCUAUAGGAUGUAAGACAAUGCUAAAAUUUCAGGAUGUCUUGCCCAUUCCGAUUUCAGGAUAUUAUUUUCCAGACGUAUGCAAAAAAGCUUAUCUUCCCAUUGUCAGAAUAACAUGUAAUAUAUAAGGAAGUAAUAAAUCGUAUAAUCUGUAUUGUAUUGCAUAUCUCAUGACUAAGGUAAACAAAACUGUAUAAAUGCUAGCUUCACAGUAAUACAG
RNAcentral lists this long non-coding RNA (9144 nucleotides) under Pelobates cultripes (western spadefoot toad). The record is from RNAcentral. Lineage: Eukaryota; Metazoa; Chordata; Amphibia; Anura; Pelobatidae.